This 402-nucleotide ribosomal RNA is filed under the name uncultured bacterium. Its description in RNAcentral is "bacterial SSU rRNA". It matches the Rfam family "Bacterial small subunit ribosomal RNA", at positions 355 to 774 of the family's 1533-position model. The record is from RNAcentral.
UCGGGAAUUUUGGGCAAUGGGCGAAAGCCUGACCCAGCAACGCCGCGUGAGGGAUGAAGUAUUUCGGUAUGUAAACUUCGAAAGAAUAGGAAGAAUUAAUGACGGUACUAUUUAUAAGGUCCGGCUAACUACGUGCCAGCAGCCGCGGUAAUACGUAGGGACCAAGCGUUGUUCGGAUUUACUGGGCGUAAAGGGCGCGUAGGCGGCAAUUCAAGUCAGCUGUGAAAUCUCUGGGCUUAACCCGGAACGGCCAGCUGAUACUGCUUUGCUAGAGUGCGGAAGGGGCAAUCGGAAUUCUUGGUGUAGCGGUAAAAUGCGUAGAUAUCAAGAGGAACACCUGAGGUGAAGACGGGUUGCUGGGCCGACACUGACGCUGAGGCGCGAAAGCCAGGGGAGCAAACG